CCUACGGGGGGCUGCAGUGGGGAAUAUUGGACAAUGGGGGCAACCCUGAUCCAGCCAUGCCGCGUGUGUGAAGAAGGCCCUCGGGUUGUAAAGCACUUUCAGUGAGGAAGAACGCCUGGUGGUUAAUACCCAUCAGGAAAGACAUCACUCACAGAAGAAGCACCGGCUAACUCCGUGCCAGCAGCCGCGGUAAUACGGAGGGUGCGAGCGUUAAUCGGAAUUACUGGGCGUAAAGCGCGCGUAGGUGGCUUGAUAAGCCGGUUGUGAAAGCCCCGGGCUCAACCUGGGAACGGCAUCCGGAACUGUCAAGCUAGAGUGCAGGAGAGGAAGGUAGAAUUCCCGGUGUAGCGGUGAAAUGCGUAGAGAUCGGGAGGAAUACCAGUGGCGAAGGCGGCCUUCUGGACUGAGACUGACACUGAGGUGCGAAAGCGUGGGUAGCAAACAGGAUUAGAUACCCCGGUAGUC
Molecule: ribosomal RNA, 465 nt
Filed under: Vreelandella stevensii
Lineage: Bacteria; Pseudomonadati; Pseudomonadota; Gammaproteobacteria; Oceanospirillales; Halomonadaceae
Description: partial 16S ribosomal RNA
Rfam family: Bacterial small subunit ribosomal RNA
Source: RNAcentral